UUACGGCUACAUCACGUUGAAACAACGGUUCUGGUAUGAUCACCGAAAUUAAGCAACGUUGAGCCUGGGCAGUACCUAGAUGGGUUACCGCUUUGGAAUACCAAGUUCUGUA
This is a non-coding RNA of Acanthosepion pharaonis, 112 nucleotides long. Lineage: Eukaryota; Metazoa; Mollusca; Cephalopoda; Sepiida; Sepiidae. The record is from the annotation of a GenBank genome assembly.